CAAGGAGCAAAGCAGUAGUAACAACAGGAUGAGCUCUCAAAUAAGUGUGAUACCCUAUUUCAUGCUUAAAAGAUCAAAGUGAGAAAUUAUUUUUACUCUUCUGUAAUAGUCCAGUUCCUCCAGCAAGAAUACUCCAAUGUGGAAUUCAAAAUGCGAGGCAGAAACAUCUCUAAAUAAAGGGUAAUGUAGGUUAUGAUAUCUACAGCCAGCCAUGAGCCAGUGCAUGAAGAUAUAAAGGUCAACUGAAAGUGAACACAGAGAAACAAAAAAAUGCAUUUGAGGCCAAUUAAGGUGGUUUUCAACCAGUUCUCCAUUCAGCUUUCUAAAAAUCAAACCAGCAGAAUUCUCUUUGAUUUGCAGUUGGUUUUUUACUUAGGACAAAUAAUUUUAAAACAUUAGAAAAUCAUGGAUAAAUUUUAUAAUAAAA
RNAcentral lists this long non-coding RNA (427 nucleotides) under Heterocephalus glaber (naked mole-rat). Its description in RNAcentral is "lncRNA (ENSHGLG00100040759.1)". Lineage: Eukaryota; Metazoa; Chordata; Mammalia; Rodentia; Bathyergidae. The record is from RNAcentral.